Molecule: ribosomal RNA, 871 nt
Filed under: Aerococcus sp. DFW-AE7-6a
Lineage: Bacteria; Bacillati; Bacillota; Bacilli; Lactobacillales; Aerococcaceae
Description: bacterial SSU rRNA
Rfam family: Bacterial small subunit ribosomal RNA
Source: RNAcentral
CAGAUGAAGUGCUUGCACUUCUGACGUUAGCGGCGAACGGGUGAGUAACACGUAAGGAAUCUACCUAUAAGCGGGGGAUAACAUUCGGAAACGGGUGCUAAUACCGCAUAAUAUCUUCUUCCGCAUGGAAGAAGAUUGAAAGACGGCUCUGCUGUCACUUAUAGAUGACCUUGCGGUGCAUUAGUUAGUUGGUGGGGUAACGGCCUACCAAGACGAUGAUGCAUAGCCGACCUGAGAGGGUGAUCGGCCACAUUGGGACUGAGACACGGCCCAAACUCCUACGGGAGGCAGCAGUAGGGAAUCUUCCGCAAUGGGCGAAAGCCUGACGGAGCAAUGCCGCGUGAGUGAAGAAGGCCUUCGGGUCGUAAAACUCUGUUAUAAGAGAAGAACAAAUUGUAGAGUAACUGCUACAGUCUUGACGGUAUCUUAUCAGAAAGCCACGGCUAACUACGUGCCAGCAGCCGCGGUAAUACGUAGGUGGCAAGCGUUGUCCGGAUUUAUUGGGCGUAAAGGGAGCGCAGGUGGUUUCUUAAGUCUGAUGUGAAAGCCCACGGCUUAACCGUGGAGGGUCAUUGGAAACUGGGAAACUUGAGUACAGAAGAGGAAUGUGGAACUCCAUGUGUAGCGGUGGAAUGCGUAGAUAUAUGGAAGAACACCAGUGGCGAAGGCGACAUUCUGGUCUGUUACUGACACUGAGGCUCGAAAGCGUGGGGAGCAAACAGGAUUAGAUACCCUGGUAGUCCACGCCGUAAACGAUGAGUGCUAGGUGUUGGAGGGUUUCCGCCCUUCAGUGCCGCAGUUAACGCAUUAAGCACUCCGCCUGGGGAGUACGACCGCAAGGUUGANACUCAAAGGAAUUGANGGGAACCCG